RNAcentral lists this long non-coding RNA (406 nucleotides) under Mytilus galloprovincialis (Mediterranean mussel). The record is from RNAcentral. Lineage: Eukaryota; Metazoa; Mollusca; Bivalvia; Mytilida; Mytilidae.
GUACACAUGUCUGUAUAUAUGUCAGUCAGAUUUAAAUACAUGAUCUCAAGUACAUGAUUAAACCUUUUUCUAUGCAAGCUUUUCAUAUCGAUAUAAUACAUCAUAGAUAUAUAAAACAACACAUUGUGUUAUCUGUGCUAAGGGAAAUAGACAAAUUGACAAAAAUAUUAUUUCCUCAGUUUAUUUACAUAAUUUGCCCCAAAUAUGUCCUGUACGUAUAGAUUUAUUACCUUACACAAUUUAUUGUCAUUACAAAAUAACGUAAAAAAAAAAAAAAAAACAUCGAACUUUGUAUACAGCUGGUCCAAUGUGUUAAUUGGCUAUCAUUGGUUUCACUUUUAUAAACUUUUAGUUUCGUAUCAUGAAUGAUACUAGUGUUGGAGUAACAUAUACUGUGCUUUAGAAU